AGCUCAUCGAGAGGGACUGAGGGAACGGCCCAGUGAAGUCCCGGCAACCGCCACGAGCCCCCUGACCCGGCCCCGCCGGAUCAGUCGUGGAAACGGUGCUAAUUCCGGCCCGCGGCGAGAUACGCCGUUGGGGAAGAUGAGAA
RNAcentral lists this non-coding RNA (143 nucleotides) under Nocardioides sp. Its description in RNAcentral is "SAM-I sequence". It matches the Rfam family "SAM riboswitch aptamer (S box leader)". From Rfam's summary of the family: The SAM riboswitch is found upstream of a number of genes which code for proteins involved in methionine or cysteine biosynthesis in Gram-positive bacteria. The SAM riboswitch acts at the level of transcription termination control. The predicted structure consists of a complex stem-loop region followed by a single stem loop terminator region. Lineage: Bacteria; Bacillati; Actinomycetota; Actinomycetes; Propionibacteriales; Nocardioidaceae. RNAcentral also lists the same sequence under 1 other name. The record is from RNAcentral.